CUGUAUUCUCCAUCUUUCAUACGUCUUUUCUUUUACUAUAAACCUCUCUCUCCCUCUCAUUAAACAAGAAACUAGCACUUCAUGAUCUCAAGGCUCUUGAAUCUUAUAACCAUUUGUCAAGUUUUAAAUCUGGGUCAGUGAUCAUUAAGGCCAAAACAUUAAAGUUUUGGAAUCUCCAUCCACCCUUUGUUUUGUCUAUUCUUUCCUGUUCCAAUUCUCUCACAAACACAAACUACACAACCAACCAGUCAUUGAUCUUGUAAGGUGUAUGUGGUUUGAGAAGGAUACAUAUAACUUCUUUUGAUAUAUCAUGUUUCUCAAUGAUGAGGUUAACUAGAAGAACAUGAUGUUGCAUCCAAAGCUAGUGGUAGGUGAAGAUACCAACAUGUUUCGAUUGAGACUAAGAGAGUAAUUGUGUUGCAUGUAUGUUAACGUACACGGUCAUGAUUUUGGGUCUUCUAACUUUGUCCAUUUUGGUGUUACCAUUGGUGUUGCCUCCUUUGCCACCACCACCAUUGCUUAUUCUCUUUGUUCCUGUUUUCAUCAUGCUCCUUCUCUUUCUCUUGGCUUUUUCACCUUCCACGCUUCCUAACAUGGCUUCCUUUGGUUCUUGAUGUGUGUAACAGUUUUCAAGAUCUGUGUAUGUAAGUUCCAGAAAGAAUAAUGAGUAAUGGAAUCUGGUGAAAUAUGAUGAGCUUCUUAUCUUUCUUAUUUUUG
RNAcentral lists this long non-coding RNA (717 nucleotides) under Lupinus angustifolius (narrow-leaved blue lupine). RNAcentral describes it as "long non-coding RNA (LANG_LNC000879)". Lineage: Eukaryota; Viridiplantae; Streptophyta; Magnoliopsida; Fabales; Fabaceae. The record is from RNAcentral.